Molecule: non-coding RNA, 312 nt
Organism: Podarcis muralis (Common wall lizard)
Lineage: Eukaryota; Metazoa; Chordata; Lepidosauria; Squamata; Lacertidae
Source: RefSeq, a predicted model, not a curated record
UACUUGAGGGUCUGCUUUAAGCACAGCGCGCUGACGGUGCCUCCUCGAAAAAAACAAGCCAUUGCUGAGACGGGCAGUCCAUAUAAGAGCUGAAACGAAUCUUUCCUCCUGCCCAGUGACAUUCAGACCUGAACACAGGACUUCUACGAGUUACAGAGAAUUCUGGGCCUGACUUCAUGCAAAUCCAGGAUUGUGACGAGGCACUGCAAAUCCUGCGGUGGGGGCUGUACUCUGACUUCACAUGAUGACACUCUUACAUUUUUAUUACAGUGGUACCUUGGUUCUCAAACGCCUUGGUUCCCAAACAGCGAA